RNAcentral lists this transfer RNA (72 nucleotides) under Hyphomicrobiaceae bacterium. RNAcentral's name for it is "tRNA-OTHER". It matches the Rfam family "tRNA". From Rfam's summary of the family: Transfer RNA (tRNA) molecules are approximately 80 nucleotides in length. Their secondary structure includes four short double-helical elements and three loops (D, anti-codon, and T loops). Further hydrogen bonds mediate the characteristic L-shaped molecular structure. tRNAs have two regions of fundamental functional importance: the anti-codon, which is responsible for specific mRNA codon recognition, and the 3' end, to which the tRNAs corresponding amino acid is attached (by aminoacyl-tRNA synthetases). tRNAs cope with the degeneracy of the genetic code in two manners: having more than one tRNA (with a specific anti-codon) for a particular amino acid; and 'wobble' base-pairing, i.e. permitting non-standard base-pairing at the 3rd anti-codon position. Lineage: Bacteria; Pseudomonadati; Pseudomonadota; Alphaproteobacteria; Hyphomicrobiales; Hyphomicrobiaceae. The record is from RNAcentral.
GAGGCUAUAGCUCAAUGGUAGAGCGCCCGAGCAAUCGGGAGGUCAGGGGUUCGAUUCCCUUUAGCUUCUCCA